UAGUGGAAAUGCUAAGUCAUAGCUUGAACCAGUGAUAAAGCACCUGAUGGGAAGUCAGGGCCAACACAGGGGAGCUCAGGUGCAUGUAAUGCAUCUGAGUGGCCAGAAGGUGUGGAGCCAGGAUCCACCCCUUCCGAGAUCUUAUUUAAGAGCUGGCAGUGGAGGUAAGGGGAUUUUGCUGGAGCACUCUAUGUACUUGGGGUAAUACAUUUCUGGAGCUGUGACCUGAAACAGAAAUCCAGCAGCUUCAAAAGAGAUCUGUUCUUCCUGUUGGACUUCAUUAAAUUUCCUCAGUGCAAGUGUGGGUGAUAAAUUUUAAGGAAUAUGGUGUGAUUCCCGGAAGAUGUUGCUUUCUGUGGCAGUUUCUCAAGGUAUCUGGUUUAGGCAGAAGAGUGGUGAUGGUGGAGAGUAGUGCCAAUCUGGAUUACCAUCCUGCAGCCAGACAAGAUGUGGGUUGCUACUUCCUGUUGCUGAGGAGCUGGCAGUCUGAUAAACAUCUAGAUGAGUUCACCUGGCCCCAGUGCACAAGGACAAACUUAAGAUUUCUAAAGACUUGAGAGUAAAUUUGCUGCUUUUUUACAAGAUCUGGCAGGAUGAGAAAACAUACUUCAUGUUCUA
Molecule: non-coding RNA, 618 nt
Organism: Meleagris gallopavo (turkey)
Lineage: Eukaryota; Metazoa; Chordata; Aves; Galliformes; Phasianidae
Source: RefSeq, a predicted model, not a curated record